Long non-coding RNA from Cyprinus carpio carpio, 620 nucleotides. Lineage: Eukaryota; Metazoa; Chordata; Actinopteri; Cypriniformes; Cyprinidae. The record is from Ensembl.
AUGAUGAUGAAACUAAUGGCUCCAGCCUUUUCUAACGGCUCAAGAAUCAUCUGCGCUUCCAGAUGCCACGUGACACACGUCGACACCGCAGGCCGUAAUGCAGCGGGGCCGCUGUUGAUUUGGCUCGCGCUUUAUUCUGAGUGGAUAAUGUGUGGUGGUGAGGGAGCCAGGGACCUUGUCCGAGACACCGAUACUGAGCGACUCUUCCUCAGAGUGAGCCAGUGAAGAGGAUCGGAUAAAGUGAGCAAGUGAGUGUGUUAAAUAGGGCUCAGCAUGAUCAUUUUCUAUCAGAGGAAUCUGACAGGCCUUAUGCUGAGUUGGCAGUCUGCUGGAGACUGGCAGGCAUGGCCUUUUAUCCUUCCACAUGUUUCACAGCAAUUGGACAAUCAGCCACUGCACUGAAAAUCCAUAGUAUUGAUCGGCCCUGUAUCUUCUCUAUAAUUCUCCAGCAGGAAAUCCCUGAUGACAAAUUAUAUCUUCACCAGUUUUUGAUUGGUGCUUUGAUGUAAGCGAUCUCCCAGGGCAGGCGAGGGAACAAGACCCGGGUUUAUUAACGCAUGAUGCCUGCCGCUACGAUCAGACUUCACGGUUACAACCACACGGCCUAGACUACCCAUCAG